This 77-nucleotide transfer RNA is filed under the name Natribacillus halophilus. RNAcentral describes it as "tRNA_Arg_ACG". It matches the Rfam family "tRNA". From Rfam's summary of the family: Transfer RNA (tRNA) molecules are approximately 80 nucleotides in length. Their secondary structure includes four short double-helical elements and three loops (D, anti-codon, and T loops). The record is from RNAcentral. Lineage: Bacteria; Bacillati; Bacillota; Bacilli; Caryophanales; Bacillaceae.
GCGCCCGUAGCUCAAUUGGAUAGAGCGUCUGACUACGGAUCAGAAGGCUAGGGGUUCGAGUCCUCUCGGGCGCGCCA